Zonotrichia albicollis (white-throated sparrow) is the source of this 1594-nucleotide long non-coding RNA. The record is from Ensembl. Lineage: Eukaryota; Metazoa; Chordata; Aves; Passeriformes; Passerellidae.
CUCGAACAACCCCAGUGGCCACUAACCAGGAACACCUGCUGGUUAGCCGGAACGGGAGGGAGGAGAAGAUGGGCAUCUCCAGCGGAAUUCCAGCGCGGAAUAUGGAAGUGUUUAAAGGAAGACCUUCCCCAGCUCAGGGUGAUUCACAGGCCUAGAUGACCUGUUUGAUGCCGGAGCUGGAUUUGAUUUGAAUCCUGGACUGUGAAGCCAUGGAGGGAUGGAUCUGUGGAUCUGGAUCACACUCAGAUCACUCCACUGCUUUUCCUGAAGCCACGGCAGGAGCUGUGCUGGAAAUGGUGCCUUGGGAGUCUGCAUCCCAGGUCAGGAGACCAGACAUCAAAUCCCUGGUGCAUCUUGGCAGCUGGGAGCGCUCCAGCAAACCAGGAUGCUCCAGCAGACCCUGACAAAGCUGCUGCUGGGAGCACAUCACCAGCAGGGUAAAUGACAACCCAGCCCUGGCUGAAGCCAAAGCUCCACAGUCCAUGUGAAAACCCACCUGCAAUUCUGCAACUGCCUGUGAAGAAGUGAGCCUGCUCCUCACAAAAUGUAUUUUAGCUGCCCUGCUUGGGGAUUCCAGUCCCUGUGUCUGGGUUGUAUCUGUGCAUCCAUCUGUCAAAUGGGAUCAAUGAGCCAAACUCUCCCUAAAUAUUAACUUCCUACAUGUUUCAUAAAAUAGGCAGAGGCAGAAAUUUGGCUUGAUGUCCUCCUGAAAGGGAAAGCUGGAUUGCCUGUCUGUGCUGUAAAAAUCAUACACAAAUCCACAGGGCAUCAAAUGAGGCUCACAGCACAAAUCCUUGAUUUUUCUCAUAAAACUAUGGGUUUCAAAUGUGCUGUAAAACAAAGGGAGUGAAACACCUGCAAUGCUCAGGCUGGUCCAGGCUGUGAGGUCAGGCAGUUUUUUGGGGUUGCAGGACCCUAAACUGGCAUGAGCAGGGAUUUGUGGGCACCCCAAAAGGGCAAAGCUGUAUUCUCUUCUCUGGAAGAUGCAUUUACAGAGAUUCAUUUUAAAUAAGAGACUCAUAAAAGAAACCUAUAGAUGAUAACAAACAGAGGCUCAGCUGUGUCACGCCCUGGAAUGGAAAUGGGAAGAGCUGCAAAGGUUCAACAUCUCUGAAAAUCUGAUCACUGAGUGUUUCUAGUCAGCUUCCCCUGCCAAAGCAAAAUGAAAUUUUCCAAAUCUCUGCCAAACUCUGACGCUCAUGAGCAGCUCCUCAAGUAGGUUUGGAUGAUGUAACCAAUAAUCACGAAUCCCUCCUCCACUUUCUAAAUUACAUCUGGUUGGGACGAAUUUUUAUGUGGAUAACACAACCAAAAUCUGAAUGGCUCUGUUUGGUCUAAAUCACAUUAUGCAUUUGCAUUAUGACAUAUAAAAUUUAGGAAAAAAGGGAAUUUUGCCUCAUGAAGGUGAAGAGGCCCUGGCACAGGUGCCAGAGAAGCUGUGGCUGCCCCUGGAUCCCUGGAAUGUCCAAGACCAGGUUGGACAGGGCUUGGAGCACCCUGGGAUAGUGAAAGGUGUCCCUGCCCAUGGUGAAGGUGGCACUGGUUGUGUGACCCCCAAAUAGCUGGAGAAAUAAAUAAAAAAUAAAAAUCCUCA